This 993-nucleotide long non-coding RNA is filed under the name Panax ginseng (ginseng). Its description in RNAcentral is "long non-coding RNA (PGIN_LNC017405)". Lineage: Eukaryota; Viridiplantae; Streptophyta; Magnoliopsida; Apiales; Araliaceae. The record is from RNAcentral.
AACUGUCUUUCAAGCAUCUCGAGUAAGAAAUUAAUAUCCCUUUCAGCAACUCUGGUACCAUCAUAGAUACGUUGUUGAGAAAGUGUCACAUAUUGGAAACCUGUGGUUUACACCAAUGUGGUGACUGGAAAAUAGUUCACUGGAAAAAAACAAGCACCAAAGGAGGGGGGAGAGAAGUUAGCAAAACAGAAGGAAAAAAAUAAUUGUACAUAUAACUAUACAAUCACCCAUGGCCCAAGCGAAGUCAAACUAGUGCCCUGUGCUUUUAGGUCUUCUUCAUAUAUUUAAUUCUGCAAGGCUAGCAUGAUAUAUCAUAAAAAAUAUCAGUAAUAUAUAACCAACAAAAUAAUAUAAUAAAUUAUUUUUUGGACAGGCCAUUGUACCGGUUUAUAUAUUUUAACCAUAAAAUCAGGAUAUCAGAUAAAUAUUAAACAGACUAACCAAUGAAGAAAAAACAUCAAAAGACAAAUAUCUUAAACACCAAAAGAGUCUUCGCAAUACCUGUUGAAAGAAGUGGCAAGCCUCGGCCUCCUUGGAGUCUACCAUUCUCUGUAAUAUAAUCAAACAGUUGACCUGAAGUCAUGUACUCCAUGACCACAUAACAUGACCACAUAAAUGGUUGACCGAGUCUCUAUGACCUCAAAAAGGUGUACGACAUGUGGAUGUGAGAGUAGCCGCAGUAUAUUGAUUUCUCGUUUUACUGAAACAACACCAAUAUGAGGAAAGGAUGACACAAAAAAUGCAAUAUAGAUCAGAGAAACAGCUUUAGGUGUGAAUUAAUAUCUUAAAAAUAGAAAAAAAAAAAAUGAUGGAAACAGUAAACACCGGGAAGCUUAGAAGAACAUUACCCAGGAAUUGCUAGUAUAAUUGUAUAAGACCUAGUACGCCUUGCUAGUAUAAUUGUAUAUUAAUACCAUUUCUCAAUUUGACUUGCACAACACCUAGCAAGGGACUACCUUGUCGAAUACUAUGACAUAUAUUCUUGUACCCACA